RNAcentral lists this ribosomal RNA (164 nucleotides) under Astragalus schelichowii. Its description in RNAcentral is "5.8S ribosomal RNA". It matches the Rfam family "5.8S ribosomal RNA". Rfam says of the family: 5.8S ribosomal RNA (5.8S rRNA) is a component of the large subunit of the eukaryotic ribosome. The record is from RNAcentral. Lineage: Eukaryota; Viridiplantae; Streptophyta; Magnoliopsida; Fabales; Fabaceae.
AAUGACUCUCGGCAACGGAUAUCUAGGCUCUUGCAUCGAUNAAGAACGUAGCGAAAUGCGAUACUUGGUGUGAAUUGCAGAAUCCCGUGAACCAUCGAGUCUUUGAACGCAAGUUGCGCCCGAAGCCAUCAGGUUGAGGGCACGUCUGCCUGGGCGUCACAUAU